AGAAACGACUCAGGGUCUGCGGCGCUUGCACGUCAACGGAAGGUGUGAGCCCAAAGAAAUGGGACGUCGGUCAUCAGAUACUGAAGAAGAAAGCAGAAGCAAGAGAAAAAAGAAACACCGUAGGCGGUCCUCCUCGAGCAGUUCUUCAGAUAGUAGAACAUACAGCCGAAAGAAAGGAGGAAGGAAAUCAAGAUCAAAGUCAAGAUCUUGGUCCAGAGAUCUUCAGCCUCGUUCACAUUCUUAUGAUAGAAGACGCAGGCAUCGAUCAAGCAGUAGUUCUUCUUAUGGCUCCAGAAGGAAACGAAGUCGAAGUCGUUCAAGGGGUCGAGGGAAAUCCUACAGAGUUCAGAGGUCUAGGUCAAAAAGCAGAACAAGAAGGGAAUCUGGAAACAUCAAAGCUGGAUUAGAACAUCUGCCACCGGCUGAACAGGCCAAAGCCAGACUACAGCUGGUUCUUGAAGCUGCUGCAAAAGCUGAUGAAGCAUUGAAAGCCAAAGAAAGAAAUGAGGAAGAAGCAAAGAGAAGAAAGGAGGAAGGUAAAGAAAUGCUACUAAAAAAGUGCCUUUAAAGGAAACUGUACUGCAAAAAUGAUUCCCAUGAUGCCUAUAUGAUUCCUGUCUGUGGAAUCAGAAGCUGAAGAUGGAUCAGUUAAUACCAUGCAAAGUCUUAUACUAUACUUCACCAUAUUCUUUGCAAAAUGAAACAGUAUAGCAGAGAUCAAAUAGAAUGGUUAUAGCUAAAGCCUGCAUAAUAUGUUUGAACGAUCUACACUUAUUGAGAAGAAAACUGAUGUUGAGUUAAAUAAGCUGGCAACACUGUCUACCUGUCAAGUUAUCUUACAUUUAAUUUUUAGCAGAAAUAGGAGAUAUAUCUAUUUACUAAAGAUAAAAAACAUACCAGUGUUCACAUCAAGAGAACAAGUUGGCAAGUG
This 931-nucleotide small RNA is filed under the name Pongo abelii (Sumatran orangutan). RNAcentral describes it as "processed transcript". The record is from RNAcentral. Lineage: Eukaryota; Metazoa; Chordata; Mammalia; Primates; Hominidae.